ACUUUGUCUGCAUGUUGAGCAGUUUACAGCGAUGAGCAUGUUGGCUAUCAGAGUGACAAAUUUCAAUUUUGGAUUCAGCUAGCGAGUCACUGUGGUUCAGAUAGAUCAACUGCUGAUCUUGGAAUGUUUCUAAUGCCAGUAUGAAAUAACGUAUACCAGUUUCCUGCUGUUCUGAGUGUCCAACCUGGCAAAUGCUGGCCUAUUUUCUGGAACCUUACAAGUUCUGAUCAAACACAUCCAACGCAAUUUGUCCUGAUGAAAGCAGGAAGCCUAGCUGACUCUGAUUCCAGAAAACCCAACAUGUUCAGCAUACUCGCAUUCCUCAUAGUUGUGUGCAAGCCUUAUACUUACAGAGAGUUUCCAGCUAUAGCCUCCCCCUGACCUCCCCUCCUCAAACAGUGAUGGAUUAACAAAGGUUCCUGUAGACUUCAAACAUCUGAUAUUGGUACACAACCAUGCGUGGCAUCCGCAGAACAGAAUCAUCUCCGCGAUAAUCUCCCUGUCUGCUGAAGUGAGUCUGAUGUCAUUCAUACGAUUACAUAACAGAAACGCCCUCAAUGUGUUUCUGCCUGCAGAAGUAUGGAUUACUUUGAACUUUUUAAUAAUACAGUAAUAUAGUUUAAGGCAACAAAUGAAUGAGCUAGCAUUGAAAAGAUAAUACACUGUAAAUAUACCUUGGAAUAAUUUUCAACCGAAAAAUGCAUGGUCCCAAUUAACCAUUCAACCAAACUAAUAACAAAGAAUUUGUCCCAAAAUAUCAAAGAAUUUAUUAAACCUGUUAAAUAAGAAUUAUAAUGCAAUGUCUUGCAGUCUGCAUUUUUAAUGAGCUAUUUGCACUGAGGUUUGAGGCAGUGAAAUGAGAUAGUAUUAACAAAAUAGAAAACUUUCCAUUAAUUGUGAUGUCACAACACAUAUCACACAAAAACAUAACAUAUCAAGUGUAAACAUUUCAUAAAACAAAAAGAGCAAAACUCAAUGAAAUAUUAAGACACAAACAUCAAGAAAAAUGUAAUAUUGCAUUAGUAUAGGAAAAGCUAUCUUCUCAUUUGUUUUUUUGCGACCAUUAAUGCUGAUGUAAUGGUCGUAAAUAUCCGUUUUACUGGCUCCCACAACAUGUCCCUGGUAAAACUCAGUUUGUGAUCAUUAAAUCAGCAUUAACGGUCACAAAUAACUAAUGUGAAGACGGUUAUUCCCUAACUUAAUGACCAACAUUUUGUACGUUGAUGCUGAAAUGCUGUAGCUGAUUUUUCAAUAAAUCUCUUCCAUUUAGUAUUGAUUGAAACAAUAGUUCGGAGUCAUCAAUAUGUAGGAAUGUGUAAGGGGGGGGGGGGUCAAUUUCAUAAUAAUUUGGAGAGAAGCUUGAUAGUAGCCAUACAUAGUUUAAACAUCAAAUAUUGUAUACAAUUAAAGGAAAGUUAAUCACUUGACCAUGAUAAUGCUAUUUUAUCAACAUUAUUUUCUAUACAAGUAAUUCAAACAAAUUAUUGCAAACAUUUAAAUUUGAUAUGAAGUAAAUCUAAAUGUAAGAAUUAAUCUGAUGAAGGCUACAUUGAGCUUUUUAUGGCUGAUAUGCAGCAAUACAGUACUUCAACAGACUAUAUAUAACAUAUUGACAUUUAUUACAUAAUCCUGUUCUUACAAAGUUUGAAAACCCCACUACAGAACUUCCCAAACUAGAUUAUAUAUUGACACAAGCACUUUAACAGAUCUAGUAUCAGAAACAUAUUUCCUUGGGUCAAGUUUUCCCAGAGAUGUUGUUAGAUAGCCAUGAAGUACAUGGUCAUAAUUUCUACCAACAAGAUACAAUCAGCCUUUUAUAAAAGUGGACAAACUAACUUUGAUCUGUAAUUUGGGGCUAACCAUUAUUUCUCAUCAAAACUCCUGUGUGAGUCUCCCUGAUGUCUGAAAUCUUAAUUACAGAGUUCAAUUCUACUUACAUACGUCACCCAGAGAUUGUUUGAUCUGUUUUGAUGAACAGAUAAAGGGAUUUUUGUGUAAGCAUCAAAUGGACAUGAUGAAAGUGAACUGGUCAAUAUACAGCCAAAACUUAAGAUCAAUGAUCAUUUAAAAUCAGUGGCCUUAAUAACGAAUUUAAAAACAUUUCGGUAAAGCUAGUCUAUAUAUAUUCAAAUCGCAUGUGUAAACACGCAAACUCUGAUUAAAAAAAUAUAUAAAUGAGAAAUUCUACCCAAACUACCAAGUCAUAUAAUGAUAUACAUAUAUCACCUUUUAAACUACUGUAUUGACGUUUGGUGUGAAAUUUUACACCUCCCUUUAACCUGCCAUUCUGAUGGGUGUUUUUCAUUGUUCUAGAUCUGCACAGAACUUACUUCACACUAGACAGAAUGUUUGUAAAAACAGCAGACCUCCCUCUGUGUUAAUUUUCUUUUUAUAAAAAUCUGUUACAGGUUGUUAACUGAAAAAGUAAACAAGGUUUCAAGCAGUCGCUAAGAUAACCUCAAAGGAAUAUUGUGUUUAUAAAUAUCUUACAGUUCUACUGGCUCAAAUACUACAUGUUAUGUGUAUAUUAAAAAAGAUUCUGAAGUUUU
Ostrea edulis (European flat oyster) is the source of this 2549-nucleotide long non-coding RNA. RefSeq lists it as uncharacterized. The transcript has 3 exons. Lineage: Eukaryota; Metazoa; Mollusca; Bivalvia; Ostreida; Ostreidae. The record is from RefSeq and is a predicted model, not a curated record.